UNUACGGGAGGCAGCAGUAGGAUNUUCCGCAAUGGANGCAAGUNUGACGGAGCAACGCGCGUGAGUGAAGAAGGUUUUCGGAUNGUAAAGCUNUUUUGUUAGGGAAGAACANGUACCGUUUGAAUAGGGCUGUNCCUUGNGUGUCCCUCCCCAAAAACCCGGGUAUAUUUACGCCCCCGCAGCCGGGGUAAUAUGUGGGGGGCAAGUUUUCUCGGAAUUUUUGGGGUAAAAAGCGCGCGCAGGGGGUCUUUAAUNUGAGAUGAAAAAGCCCGGGUCUCACCCGGGGAGUCUCAUGGAAANGGGGAGGNUUAGAGUACAGAAGAGGAGAGGGAAUUUCCNCGUGUAGCGGAAAAAUGUGGAGAUAUGGGGGGGCACCCCAGGGGAAAAGGCGGCUCUGGGGUCUAAGAGAGACGGAGGGGCGAAAAAGUGGGGGGAGCACACGGGUUUAGAUCCCGGGNUAGUCCACCCUNUAAGAGGAGAGUUAUGGGUGUGGGGGGUUCCAACCCUUAGUGCUGCAGUUAACGCANUAANCACC
This 535-nucleotide ribosomal RNA is filed under the name uncultured bacterium. Its description in RNAcentral is "partial 16S ribosomal RNA". It matches the Rfam family "Bacterial small subunit ribosomal RNA", at positions 338 to 868 of the family's 1533-position model. The record is from RNAcentral.